GUUCUGUUUAAACAAAAUUGGGGUUUAGGAUUUUAAAUAGAAUGGCCUUGAAUUUUUCUCAUAGACCUCUGUUUCCUGGGCAUCUUCCUGAUGACAAUUUGGUUUCCCCAAUGAGGAUCGCGAAUGGUUACCUUGUGGAGGGUAUGCCGGACAAGGUUGAGAAUUGCUUUGAUUAUGGGAGGGAUAGGACCGAUAGGUGUGCCUCACAAGAAUCCGUGCAUAAGGACAUUCUUGAUCUUUUGCCAUCGGAUCCUUUUGGCAUGGACAUAAGCACUACGUUUACUGCGAUAACAGGUUGGCUUGAAGAUUUGGAGGUGGACUACGGUGUGUAUGGUAGGGAUCAGGUUGCCACGACGAGUGAUGGCAAUUAUCAGUUGUUUGCUGGGUUGAAUUUUAUUUGGAAUAAUGCAAUGAGGUUCCAAGCUUUUCCUGGUAAUAUGGGGUUUGAUAAUAGCUUGAAUGCAGUUGGUGGAUUUGGUGAUGGAUUUCUAGAGAAGGAAGUAUGGAAUGCAUCUGGCCAGGGUGCUUUUGAAUUGUCUUGUGAUGUGGAGGACAUUUUGAGUUUAGGGAAUGAAUUAAUUGGCAAUAAAGAUACUGGUGUUGUGGAUAAGAGAAGUGGAGAAUUUCAUGAGAUUAGUGGGGUUUGUUCUGAUGGAGAUGGAGGAGCUCCUCAUGCAGCCUUUGCUUUUGCUCUUGGUUAUCUUGGUGUGCGGGA
This 715-nucleotide unclassified non-coding RNA is filed under the name Hevea brasiliensis (rubber tree). The record is from RNAcentral. Lineage: Eukaryota; Viridiplantae; Streptophyta; Magnoliopsida; Malpighiales; Euphorbiaceae.